GAGAGAGGUAUUACACAAUAAGAACUGCUAAUUCCUAUAUCUGAGACUAACCCCUCAGCUCCCUCAAUCCCACCAACU
This 78-nucleotide transfer RNA is filed under the name Chelonoidis abingdonii (Abingdon island giant tortoise). RNAcentral describes it as "tRNA-Ser". The record is from RNAcentral. Lineage: Eukaryota; Metazoa; Chordata; Testudines; Testudinidae.